Molecule: transfer RNA, 87 nt
Filed under: Candidatus Atribacter allofermentans
Lineage: Bacteria; Pseudomonadati; Atribacterota; Atribacteria; Atribacterales; Atribacteraceae
Also listed under: 4 other names
Description: Candidatus Atribacteria bacterium ADurb.Bin276 tRNA-Ser
Rfam family: tRNA
About the family: Transfer RNA (tRNA) molecules are approximately 80 nucleotides in length.
Source: RNAcentral
GGAGGGAUGUCCGAAUUGGCAAGGGGCCGGUCUUGAAAACCGGUAUGCCGCAAGGCUGUGUGGGUUCGAGUCCCACUCCCUCCGCCA